Long non-coding RNA from Alosa sapidissima (American shad), 870 nucleotides. RefSeq lists it as uncharacterized. The record is from RefSeq and is a predicted model, not a curated record. The transcript is spliced from 3 exons. NCBI's taxonomy places the organism in Eukaryota, Metazoa, Chordata, Actinopteri, Clupeiformes, Clupeidae.
AGGACUUCAGUCUCUGAGGCCGAUGCAGGUUGGCAGCAUACCCGUGCGGUGAACAGCGUGCAGGACAAGAGGUAGUGGAAGACGUGCUCUCGAACCCUCUGAGCCCUCAAGCCAUCUCUGCAGGCAACAUACAGGUUCCCGCAAGGAUGUCACAGCUGGAUAGCCCACUACAGCACAAAUGUAUUUUUGCCUGCUGCGAGUCUGACUCUGUGCCUUUUGCCUGCUGCGAGUCUGACUCUGAGCAUUUUGCCUGCCACUGAAAGGCAUUUCAAACUAGACCUGACAUGACUGGAAGAAAACCCUUCAAGCAGUUCCUGUGUCUGAAAACAGUGACAGAGGUGAUCCAGCAUUUGAGGACAGUUGAGGACGUCUGAACUGAACAUGAACUUAUAUAAACUAAUGUAUCCAUAAACAUCCAUGUCCUGGCAAUUUUAGUGACCCAUAAUGGGUCUAAUCUUCACAGUAGUGAAUCUGUUAUAGAGUGAAAAAAGCUGAUAGUACAUCUAAAGGUAAUAAUGCUGCCCGUUUUAUUGGACUAUCUUGCAUGAUGUCACAUCUCCUUCGAAACUAAACUGAAGACGUCAGACAUCUGUGAAAGAUUAAAAGAAGCACCCACAGCUUCCAUCUCAGAAUUGGGCCUAUGAUGCAAACAAAGAUAGUAGCUCCUAAACUUUCCCAUCAAAGACGUUCCUAGUGUGAAGAUCUACACACAACCGCGACGCAGCAGCAAAGAACUGGUUGGUUCCUCUGUGUAAUUGGUCCUCCCCGUCUCCAAACACCCAUGCAGCUCCAGGUUGCUGUCUAAGGGGACAGCAGAGUAGAGGUCCAGGGAAUGCUCAACUUCCCUGGGCAGCCCUGGCUCUGAUCCCG